RNAcentral lists this unclassified non-coding RNA (136 nucleotides) under soil metagenome. RNAcentral describes it as "partial internal transcribed spacer 1". The record is from RNAcentral.
CUGGGUGGCUUCGGCCUAAACCCCUAACCAUUGUGAACGAUUACCAGCUGCUUAGCUGGUGGCAGGUGAAUAACUGCAGUCCCGGCGGCACCGAAACUCUUCUAAUGUUAUCUCUGAGUUACUUUUAAAUAAGUCA